This is a long non-coding RNA of Cynoglossus semilaevis (tongue sole), 477 nucleotides long. RefSeq lists it as uncharacterized. The transcript is spliced from 4 exons. NCBI's taxonomy places the organism in Eukaryota, Metazoa, Chordata, Actinopteri, Pleuronectiformes, Cynoglossidae. The record is from RefSeq and is a predicted model, not a curated record.
CUGUUUCCUGUCCUUCUCAGAUGACCUCAUUAGCUGCACCUGUAGCCUGUCAGCCAUCAGUCAGUCAGUCCUCCAGGGUUUGGAUGCUGUUGUUUUUUGGUGGAGCGGUGGAGCAGUGGUUUUCAGCCGGUGUUUUCUGGACGUCUCUGCUUGCAGGAUACCCCAAGUAGAACCGAUCGGCACCAAGCCAGCCCAAGAACAGAGACAGAGCCACAGCAACUCUGUAGGAAUAACCACUCCUGGAAAAGGAACAUUCUCUGAUUAGGAGAGAGAAGGGGAGACAGACUCACACAUUCCGACAGGAAAUGGUUUUGUUGAAGCCGACCUCUUUCCCACUGAACCGAAAUUCUGUCCCGUUAGACAGUCGACAGCUGAUGUUUGGAGCUGGGAGACACUCCACUGAAAAACACACACAGUUUAAUUCUCUGGCUCCUGAGUGGCUUCGUCGAUCUUUGGCUCAUUACACAGAUACAUGAG